This 776-nucleotide long non-coding RNA is filed under the name Mytilus galloprovincialis (Mediterranean mussel). The record is from RNAcentral. Lineage: Eukaryota; Metazoa; Mollusca; Bivalvia; Mytilida; Mytilidae.
UCGGCGUUUUGCAUUUGCGCCGAUCUGCAUUUCAUUUGCGCCGAUUUUUUCUUUCAUUUGCGCCGAUUUUUGUUUUCAUUUGCGCCGAUUUUAUUACAGGUAAAUUACAGGUGAAUAGAUAUAAGAAGAUGUGAUAUGAGUGUCGAUGAGAGAACUCUCCAUCCAAGUCAUGUUAUUUUUCAUUUGCCAGUUGUAUACAAAAUGUAAUGAAUUGUCAAUCACAACAUGUAUAUAACUGUUGUCCCCUGCUCACCACUGGGAGGUGGAAGAAGGCCUACAAGAUACAUCUUCAUACUUUUUUCCUUGUUGACCGUAUCCGUAGUUCUUUAGCAUCUGUCUUUCGGACAUCUGCCACAUGGUUAUGCUCGAUCUGUGUUUUGACAAUAGAAUCCGUGGUAACUCUGGCUUUACACGAUUGUAUGGUACAUUAGUAAGAUAUGUAGUUAUGUUUCAGAACACUGACCUUCCGAUAUCAUGGCUCUCGAUGAUUAGAGAAUUGACUUCUCGGUCCGUUUCGGUGUGCAAUAUGUCCAUCAAGUUAGAACGAAGUUCCAGAAUUAUAUGAAUCAAAAUUAACUUAAACAUGGAUGAAAAACAAUUAAUUUAUAACCAGAUUUUACCAAUGGUAUAGCACAGUACAUGUACAAGUUUUAACUUACCUGUAAAUCUAAUUAGGAGCGAAUAUAAAAUCGGCGCAAAUGAAAAAAUGAAAUCGGCGCAAAUGAAAAAAUGAACAUUUUUUAAAAUCGGCGCAAAUGUCAUACGCCCAAAAAAAG